This 84-nucleotide transfer RNA is filed under the name Coprinopsis cinerea AmutBmut pab1-1. Its description in RNAcentral is "tRNA-Gln". It matches the Rfam family "tRNA". From Rfam's summary of the family: Transfer RNA (tRNA) molecules are approximately 80 nucleotides in length. Their secondary structure includes four short double-helical elements and three loops (D, anti-codon, and T loops). The record is from RNAcentral. Lineage: Eukaryota; Fungi; Basidiomycota; Agaricomycetes; Agaricales; Psathyrellaceae.
GGCGCUAUAGUGUAGUGGUUAUCACUCGGGAUUUUGACUUGAUCUGGAAUUCCCGAAACCCAGGUUCGAACCCUGGUAGCGCCU